Stegostoma tigrinum is the source of this 317-nucleotide long non-coding RNA. RefSeq lists it as uncharacterized. NCBI's taxonomy places the organism in Eukaryota, Metazoa, Chordata, Chondrichthyes, Orectolobiformes, Stegostomatidae. The transcript has 2 exons. The record is from RefSeq and is a predicted model, not a curated record.
GACCAAUGUAGGAGGCAACGAGAAGAACUAAUGAACUUUGAUUGGACGACCUGGAGGUGCUGUGUGUCAGGAUGGGGCCAGUGAUGGCAAACGUCUUCUUGCCAGAGACAAGUAGAUAUGCAUCGGCUUGACCUUCCAAGGUAUAGAGAUGGAGGCCCCAGCCACAUGUGGACUGACCUGAGAGGAGAUGUCCAUGAUGCCUCUGUAUGAUUCCUCUUUCAGCUGCUUGCUGCCUGGCACUGCCUGGUCCCCUGUUGUCACAUAUAAAAGCAAAAUACUGUGACACUGAAAUCUGAAAUAAAAACUUCUAUUCUGUA